Helianthus annuus (common sunflower) is the source of this 397-nucleotide long non-coding RNA. RefSeq lists it as uncharacterized. The record is from RefSeq and is a predicted model, not a curated record. NCBI's taxonomy places the organism in Eukaryota, Viridiplantae, Streptophyta, Magnoliopsida, Asterales, Asteraceae. The transcript has 3 exons.
UCCAGGCAAGAGAAAAAGGAAGGAAACCCUCACAAAUCAGAAGUUAGUAAAAUAGGAAAGGAAAUUCAAAGCAAAUCAUAUGCAUGUGCCUUAAUUUGCAAUCAUCUAAGUUUACUCAACAAGUGGAAUGAAAGAAGAAGCCCCAAGCACCAAGAAAACAGAAAGCACGCAAGACCAAGGUAAAUCCGCGAUUUAGAUGGUUUGGCGAACUUGGAACGAACGCACACAAUAUCCGCUCACAAUGCGCUUCCGAAGUUACCUUCUUGAAAUGGGUCAAAACUUUGGUUAUAUUCUUAAAAUCAAGAACAUGUAAAUCUUUUGGUUGUUAUUAAGUCUAAUGGAAUCUAUGUCUAGAAAUCUUGUAACUAGAUAACGUCAAACAUGUUUUCCCCUUUUG